RNAcentral lists this ribosomal RNA (988 nucleotides) under Hemiselmis sp. UTEX 2000. Its description in RNAcentral is "eukaryotic LSU rRNA". It matches the Rfam family "Eukaryotic large subunit ribosomal RNA", at positions 83 to 1001 of the family's 3401-position model. The record is from RNAcentral. Lineage: Eukaryota; Cryptophyceae; Cryptomonadales; Hemiselmidaceae.
GUAACGGCGAGUGAACCGGGAAGAGCUCAAGCUGAAAAUCUUCGGAAUUGUGGUCUAUAGGUGCGGACUCGCGCAGCCCCAGGUAUAAAUCCAUUCUUGGAAUUGGGUGCCAGAGAGGGUUAGAGCCCCGUCUUUGACUUGGGUAGCUGUGCGUGGCGAGUCUUUACCGGAGAGUCGGCUUGCUUGGGAAUGCAGGCCAAAAUGGGUGGUAAACUUCAUCUAAAGCUAAAUAUUGGCGAGAGACCGAUAGCGAACAAGUACUGUGAAGGAAAGAUGGAAAGAACUUUGAAAAGAGAGUGAAAAAGGACUUGAAAUUGUUAAGAGGAGAAGUGAUUGGAGCAUAUCAUACGGCGCGGGGUUCCAGGGACGGGGCUUGCCUUGUCUUGCACCAUCCCGCGCUGUUGGUCAGCAUCGGUUCUGCGUGGGGGAGAAAACCGGCUGCGUUGAUGGCUUCGGCUUGAUCGCAGUGGGCGAAACCCCGGGCGGGACCGAGGCAGCCAGUCUACGCUUGGCGGCCGGCCCCCUGCCCGCCUGGCCGUGUGCUGUACACCCUUUUGGCGUCUGCGGCACUCGGUUGGGUGAUGCGGGGGAGCGCUGGACCUGUAGACUCAAGAUGCUGGCACAAUGGCUUCAAUCAGCCCGUCUUGAAACACGGACCAAGGAGUCUAACACGUAUGCGAGUAGUAAGGUGGCAAACCUUGGAUGCGCAAUGAAAGUAAACGCAGGUGGGAUCCGCAAGGUGCACCAUCGACCGACCAGGAUCUUUUUGUGAAAGGUUUGAGUAAGAGCAUAUUUGUUGGGACCCGAAAGAUGGUGAACUAUGCCUGAAUAGGGUGAAGCCGGAGGAAACUCCGGUGGAGGCUCGUAGCGGUACUGACGUGCAAAUCGUUCGUCAAAUUUGGGUAUAGGGGCGAAAGACUAAUCGAACCAUCUAGUAGCUGGUUCCCUCCGAAGUUUCCCUCAGGAUAGCUGGAGCUCACACAAGUUU